Long non-coding RNA from Pseudophryne corroboree (corroboree frog), 594 nucleotides. RefSeq lists it as uncharacterized. The record is from RefSeq and is a predicted model, not a curated record. NCBI's taxonomy places the organism in Eukaryota, Metazoa, Chordata, Amphibia, Anura, Myobatrachidae. The transcript is spliced from 2 exons.
CUGGAUUUGAGAAGCGCUGCAAUAGGAAGCAGAGAGAAAGCAAAACCCAAGGCAUUUGCCAAAACUCAGAAAUCCACGGAAUUUCUCAAGAUAUUAGGGACAGACGACAACUGCGGGGAUUGUGGAUCCUCACUUUGGGGGCUGGCCAAUAGAACUAGUGGUGGCACGGCCGACACUGUGAGAUGCGCCGUUGGGGUGGUGAUGCUGGUGCUGGAGCUGGACCCUCAAGACGGCGUCUCUUGGGUGGCCUCGUUGCCACAGUAAGCGAGCCCUGUGAUGGGCGCCUUAGUGUUGGUGGAUUUGCCGAAGAAGAACCUGUGUGAUAAGAUAAACAUUAACAUUUUGUGUCUCAAUGUGUUUGCAGAAUAUGUGUAUAUAGUUAAAUCUUACCGGCAUUGCCACCAUCUGCAUCUCUCGGCAGUGUUGGCUGUGGCCUGGCUGUGCUGCUUCUCUGGCGUACUGUAGAAAUAUGAAGAAUGUCCUUAUGAACAUACUAUUUUGGUGAUAUGUUUUUGCAAAUUCCUUAUUGUGAUGUAAACAUAUGUGGUACCUGAUGAGAAUUAAACUAAACGAUGCUUAUGCUUUUCUGCCUGA